This 247-nucleotide ribosomal RNA is filed under the name uncultured bacterium. RNAcentral describes it as "partial 16S ribosomal RNA". It matches the Rfam family "Bacterial small subunit ribosomal RNA", at positions 524 to 766 of the family's 1533-position model. The record is from RNAcentral.
AACGUAGGAGACAAACGUUAUCCGGAGUUACUGGGCGUAAAGGGCGUGUAGGUGGUUUCGUAAGUCUGGCGUGAAAUUUUUCGGCUUAACCGGGAAAGGUCGUCGGAUACUGCGGAACUAGAGGACGGUAGAGGCGUGUGGAAUUCCGGGUGUAGUGGUGAAAUGCGUAGAGAUCCGGAGGAAGCACCAGUAGGCGAAGGCGACACGCUGGGCCGUACCUGACACUGAUGACGGCGACAGCAAUGGG